UCCCGACGGUCCGAGUCGCAGCCACAAUUAUUGGGUCUAAAACAUCCGUAGCUUGCCUUGUAAGUCUUUUGUGAAAUCUGGCAUCUUAAGUGUCGGGCGAGCAAGAGAUACUGCAUGGCUAGAGACUGGAGGAUGCAAAGAGUACAGUCGAGGUAGUGGUAAAAUACGUUAAUCUUGAUUGGACUAACAACAGCGAAGGCACUUUGCAACGACAGAUCUGACAGUGAGGGAUGAAGGCUAGGGGC
This 245-nucleotide ribosomal RNA is filed under the name uncultured archaeon. RNAcentral describes it as "partial 16S ribosomal RNA". It matches the Rfam family "Archaeal small subunit ribosomal RNA", at positions 474 to 718 of the family's 1478-position model. The record is from RNAcentral.